UGGGGAAUUUUGGACAAUGGGGGAAACCCUGAUCCAGCCAUCCCGCGUGUGCGAUGAAGGCCUUCGGGUUGUAAAGCACUUUUGGCAGGAAAGAAACGUCAUGGGUUAAUACCCCGUGAAACUGACGGUACCUGCAGAAUAAGCACCGGCUAACUACGUGCCAGCAGCCGCGGUAAUACGUAGGGUGCAAUCGUUAAUCGGAAUUACUGGGCGUAAAGCGUGCGCAGGCGGUUCGGAAAGAAAGAUGUGAAAUCCCAGAGCUCAACUUUGGAACUGCAUUUUUAACUACCGGGCUAGAGUGUGUCAGAGGGAGGUGGAAUUCCGCGUGUAGCAGUGAAAUGCGUAGAUAUGCGGAGGAACACCGAUGGCGAAGGCAGCCUCCUGGGAUAACACUGACGCUCAUGCACGAAAGCGUGGGGAGCAAACAGG
This 429-nucleotide ribosomal RNA is filed under the name Acidobacteriota bacterium. RNAcentral describes it as "Acidobacteria bacterium partial 16S ribosomal RNA". It matches the Rfam family "Bacterial small subunit ribosomal RNA", at positions 355 to 776 of the family's 1533-position model. The record is from RNAcentral. Lineage: Bacteria; Pseudomonadati; Acidobacteriota.